GUCGAGCGGUAGAGAGAAGCUUGCUUCUCUUGAGAGCGGCGGACGGGUGAGUAAUGCCUAGGAAUCUGCCUGGUAGUGGGGGAUAACGUUCGGAAACGGACGCUAAUACCGCAUACGUCCUACGGGAGAAAGCAGGGGACCUUCGGGCCUUGCGCUAUCAGAUGAGCCUAGGUCGGAUUAGCUAGUUGGUGGGGUAAUGGCUCACCAAGGCGACGAUCCGUAACUGGUCUGAGAGGAUGAUCAGUCACACUGGAACUGAGACACGGUCCAGACUCCUACGGGAGGCAGCAGUGGGGAAUAUUGGACAAUGGGCGAAAGCCUGAUCCAGCCAUGCCGCGUGUGUGAAGAAGGUCUUCGGAUUGUAAAGCACUUUAAGUUGGGAGGAAGGGCAGUUACCUAAUACGUGAUUGUUUUGACGUUACCGACAGAAUAAGCACCGGCUAACUCUGUGCCAGCAGCCGCGGUAAUACAGAGGGUGCAAGCGUUAAUCGGAAUUACUGGGCGU
RNAcentral lists this ribosomal RNA (505 nucleotides) under Pseudomonas sp. Its description in RNAcentral is "bacterial SSU rRNA". It matches the Rfam family "Bacterial small subunit ribosomal RNA", at positions 61 to 561 of the family's 1533-position model. Lineage: Bacteria; Pseudomonadati; Pseudomonadota; Gammaproteobacteria; Pseudomonadales; Pseudomonadaceae. The record is from RNAcentral.